AGGCAACCCCCAUUCUUAAAAAAGAUGUAGAAAGGGAGGUGUUUAUCUGUUCGUACAAUAAAUCUUUAAACUCUUCAGACUUGCUGAGAUUUUAUAAUCUAUGAAGUUGGUCUAGUAAGGUGAAGUAUAUU
Molecule: small nucleolar RNA, 131 nt
Organism: Impatiens glandulifera
Lineage: Eukaryota; Viridiplantae; Streptophyta; Magnoliopsida; Ericales; Balsaminaceae
Product: small nucleolar RNA snoR77
Exons: 1
Source: RefSeq, a predicted model, not a curated record